AACUAAUGGAACCUGAAAGAACUUUUCCACAUUUAGGAGCUUUUGUACAGCAAGGUCACGUGUCCUGAUCGAAAGAAGACAUGGUAUUACCCAUAUGCAAGGGAAAAAGCUGAAAUGAGGAACUGUCAUUGCGUUAGCUGUCUGUUGAAUUGGGAAGUGAUGGCACAGGGUCUCAAAUUUGUGUUUCUCAAAUGUGAAUUGUAGUCUGAUGCUGCUCUGUGUAGACUGUAUGUGCUAGGGAUAGUCUCAGCACUGAAUAUGCACCGAUACCUCGCAGAUGAACGAGUGAACGAGCGCAGCCUCUGUCCUAGGUUUCCCUACGCCUCACCGAGUGUCUGAGUGCGGAGAACUUGCGUAUCCUGUUUGCUAGCAGACGUACUUCCUGCUCUUUCCUUCGUUGUUACAUAUUUUUAUGUUUGAAGUUUAAUUUUUACUACUGUUAAUUUAAGUAAGAUUUGUUC
This 461-nucleotide long non-coding RNA is filed under the name Androctonus crassicauda. Lineage: Eukaryota; Metazoa; Arthropoda; Arachnida; Scorpiones; Buthidae. The record is from RNAcentral.